GAUGAACGCUGGCGGCGUGCCUAAUACAUGCAAGUCGAGCGAACGGACGAGAAGCUUGCUUCUCUGAUGUUAGCGGCGGACGGGUGAGUAACACGUGUAUAACCUACCUAUAAGACUGGGAUAACUUCGGGAAACCGGAGCUAAUACCGGAUAAUAUUUUGAACCGCAUGGUUCAAAAGUGAAAGACGGUCUUUCUUUCACUUAUAGAUGGAUCCGCGCUGCAUUAGCUAGUUGGUAAGGUAACGGCUUACCAAGGCAACGAUGCAUAGCCGACCUGAGAGGGUGAUCGGCCACACGGGAACUGAGACACGGUCCAGACUCCUACGGGAGGCAGCAGUAGGGAAUCUUACGCAAUGGGCGAAAGCCUGACGGAGCAACGCCGCGUGAGUGAUGAAGGUCUUCGGAUCGUAAAACUCUGUUAUUAGGGAAGAACAUAUGUGUAAGUAACUGUGCACAUCUUGACGGUACCUAAUCAGAAAGCCACGGCUAACUACGUG
RNAcentral lists this ribosomal RNA (497 nucleotides) under uncultured bacterium. RNAcentral's name for it is "partial 16S ribosomal RNA". It matches the Rfam family "Bacterial small subunit ribosomal RNA", at positions 28 to 507 of the family's 1533-position model. The record is from RNAcentral.